This 446-nucleotide ribosomal RNA is filed under the name uncultured bacterium. RNAcentral's name for it is "partial 16S ribosomal RNA". It matches the Rfam family "Bacterial small subunit ribosomal RNA", at positions 338 to 795 of the family's 1533-position model. The record is from RNAcentral.
CCUACGGGGAGCAGCAGUCGAGAAUCAUUCACAAUGGGGGAAACCCUGAUGGUGCGACGCCGCGUGGGGGAAUGAAGGUCUUCGGAUUGUAAACCCCUGUCAUGUGGGAGCAAAUUAAAAAGAUAGUACCACAAGAGGAAGAGACGGCUAACUCUGUGACAGCAGCCGCAGUAAUACAGGGGUCUCAAGCGUUCUUCGGACUCCCGGUGCGUAACGCGUGCGUAGGCUGUUUAGUACGUCGUGUGUGAAAGACGCGGGCUCCACCCGCGGACGAAACAUGAUACUGCGAGACUAGAGUAAUGGAGGGGGAACCGGAAUUCUCGGUGUAGCAGUGAAAUGCGUAGAUAUCGAGAGGAACACUCGUGGUGAAGGCGGGUUCCUGGACAUUAACUGACGCUGAGGCACGAAGGCCAGGGGAGCGAAAGGGAUUAGAUACCCUUGUAGUC